CUAAGUGUUUGCACAAUGCCAAGCACAAUGGGGUCUUGACUCUGGAAAAGAUGUUCAGACACUGCUACCAUUAACUGUAAUUAUGACUGAUUGCCCAAAUCACUGCUGACGUCAUGGGGCAGACUCUUCUUGGUGUGCAGAGGCCGCGGGGGCUCCGCCUGAGCACACAGCCAGGGUGCCGCACCCUGAGCUGCCAGCCUGGACUCCUCAGGGCAGGGCCUGGCCAGUGGCCGGGGCAGAGGGCAGCAGGAGGCUGCAAGGCAGCAGGCAAGGAGACCGCAGGCUCAAGGGAGGAAGCCAAGGCUCAUGCCUUAGCCACUCUGCCUGGGGCCCUUCUGGACCUGGGCAACGAUGGAGUUCGGGAGCAGGACUUGGGCUCCGUAAUCUUCAGUAUAGCAGACAGGUUUGUUCAGGAGGGAACUGCACUCAUGGGGUUGAGUGACCACAGAGGGAUCCAAUCUGGAGUCACCACAAGACAGCUUUAUCAACAGUAACCAUGCCGGCCAGCUUCACUGUGGAGACAUUCCUUACCAGUCUUGUCUGGUUUAGGAAAAUGGAAUAAAGUUAGGAAAUGCAUUGCA
RNAcentral lists this long non-coding RNA (581 nucleotides) under Coturnix japonica (Japanese quail). Its description in RNAcentral is "lncRNA (ENSCJPG00005009453.1)". The record is from RNAcentral. Lineage: Eukaryota; Metazoa; Chordata; Aves; Galliformes; Phasianidae.